This 585-nucleotide ribosomal RNA is filed under the name uncultured bacterium. Its description in RNAcentral is "partial 16S ribosomal RNA". It matches the Rfam family "Bacterial small subunit ribosomal RNA", at positions 355 to 1375 of the family's 1533-position model. The record is from RNAcentral.
UGGGGAAUUUUGGACAAUGGGCGAAAGCCUGAUCCAGCAAUGCCGCGUGUGUGAAGAAGGCCUUCGGGUUGUAAAGCACUUUUGUCCGGAAAGAAAUCCUUGGCUCUAAUACAGUCGGGGGAUGACGGUACCGGAAGAAUAAGCACCGGCUAACUACGUGCCAGCAGCCGCGGUAAUACGUAGGGUGCAAGCGUUAAUCGGAAUUACUGGGCGUAAAGCGUGCGCAGGCGGUUUGCUGAGACCGAUGUGAAAUCCCCGGGCUCAACCUGGGAACUGCAUUGGUGACUGGCAGGCUAGAGUAUGGCAGAGGGGGGUAGAAUUCCACGUGUAGCAGUGAAAUGCGUAGAGAUGUGGAGGAAUACCGAUGGCGAAGGCAGCCCCCUGGGCCAAUACUGACGCUCAUGCACGAAAGCGUGGGGAGCAAACAGGAUUAGAUACCCUGGUAGUCCACGCCCUAAACGAUGUCAACUAGUUGUUGGGGAUUCAUUUCCUUAGUAACGUAGCUAACGCGUGAAGUUGACCGCCUGGGGAGUACGGUCGCAAGAUUAAAACUCAAAUGAAUUGACGGGGUCAUAGCUGUUUCCU